UUUCCGUAGGUGAACCUGCGGAAGGAUCAUUAAUGAGUUGUCAUGGGGUUCGAUGCUGGCAGCCAAUUUUUGGAUGCAUGUGCUUGCCCUAACAAUCAUCUUCCAAACACCUGUGCACAUUUUUGAGGGAGUCUUGAGUUGGUUGCCGCUCUUGGGUGAUUUUCUCACAUUCCCUUAAAUCAUUAUACGCUAUUAACAAUGUUGAACGUGCUCUGUGCCGCAAGGCUAUUAAUAUAAUACAACUUUUAACAACGGAUCUCUUGGCUCUCGCAUCGACGAAGAACGCAGC
RNAcentral lists this unclassified non-coding RNA (289 nucleotides) under plant metagenome. RNAcentral's name for it is "partial contains small subunit ribosomal RNA, internal transcribed spacer 1, and 5.8S ribosomal RNA". The stretch from base 241 to 289 matches the Rfam family "5.8S ribosomal RNA", at positions 1 to 49 of the family's 154-position model. The record is from RNAcentral.